AACGAACGCUGGCGGCAGGCCUAACACAUGCGAGUCGAGCGCGCCUUCGGGUGAGCGGCGGACGGGUGAGUAACGCGUGGGAAUAUGCCCUUCUCUACGGAAUAGUCCUGGGAAACUGGGGGUAAUACCGUAUACGCCCUUUGGGGGAAAGAUUUAUCGGGGAAGGAUUAGCCCGCGUUGGAUUAGGUAGUUGGUGGGGUAAUGGCCUACCAAGCCGACGAUCCAUAGCUGGUUUGAGAGGAUGAUCAGCCACACUGGGACUGAGACACGGCCCAGACUCCUACGGGAGGCAGCAGUGGGGAAUCUUAGACAAUGGGGGCAACCCUGAUCUAGCCAUGCCGCGUGAGUGAUGAAGGCCUUAGGGUUGUAAAGCUCUUUCAGCUGGGAAGAUAAUGACGGUACCAGCAGAAGAAGCCCCGGCUAACUCCGUG
Molecule: ribosomal RNA, 431 nt
Filed under: uncultured bacterium
Lineage: Bacteria
Description: partial 16S ribosomal RNA
Rfam family: Bacterial small subunit ribosomal RNA
Source: RNAcentral